UUCAGGGCCAGGCUUGAUGGGACCCUGGGCAGCCUGAGCUGGUGGGGAGCAUCCAGCCCAUAGCAGGGGUUAGUGCUUGGUAUGGCUGCAGCACCCUCACCCACUGCAAUCUGUUCCCAGCUGUUGACAUCAGCUAUGUUCUCCAGGGCACACAGUGCCUCUCAGCAGACCAUGGCUCAGCAGCAGGAACACGGUGUGAGCGGGGGCAGCUUGGGGACAGCACAGGAACAAGCUGUGUUGCUGCAAGGCUCUGCAAGCGGGGUUGCAGCUGCCAAAGCAAGGAGGAAAAGGGCAUCUCUAGGUUGACCUUGGCUGGAAAUCAUGGCUCCUGAAAUGUCUGCUGCCCUGAGUGGUCACAGCCAGCCCUGCCCUCUCCUGGACACAGCUUGCUGGGUAUUGUCCCAGGUUGAGAGGAGUGCAGCAUUGGCUGUUUGAGGGGCUCAGCUCACGUGAGUCCAUUCAUGGAACCUGAGUGUUGAUUUGCCAUGUGAGCAGAGCUCCUUGGAAAACAGGCUCACGGGGCAGGGAAACACACAUUGCUCUGCAUCCUGACACCUCCUUGGCAAGCAGGCGCUGGCUAUAAUUAGUGCCCAGCAGCCUGCGACGUGUCCAUCCCUGCUGCAUGGGUAGAGCUGUGCAGGUGGGCACCGGGGCUGCAGCUCUGCUCCCAUGUUGGGGCCUCACAUUGGGGUCCUCUCCUCAGCUGCUCCCUGCAAAGCCUGGGCAGAGCAGAGCUGGCAUGGAUGGAGCAGCACAUCUGUCCAAAUGAAGGCAGCUCCUUGGGAACAGCCAUUCCUCAUCCCUGCAUCCAGGGCUGCUUAUGAAAUUACUGGGGCCAUACAAAUGGCAAGUUUUGUUUCAGCAGACACGGUGCCUUGCAGGAGAUAAAUCUCUGACCCGGGCUUGGAUCUGCCUUGAUACCCACAUGGGAUGCCCCUGCUGCUGCCACCCUCCAUGUCAUAUCCCACACGUCGGAGUUGGACAUUGCUACUGACAAGGAAUGGUCAUGGCUCUGAGGGAUGGGCUCGUGCUGUGCCACGUAGCGAUCCACCCCAAAUCCAUCCACCAAGCUCCAGUUUGCCUUCAUGUCAUCUCCUUCACCAGCAUCAGCUGAGGAGCUCCUGUGCUGCUCAGACUGUACAGCCCAAAAUCACAAUGUAAAACAAGAGAAAAGCAUUUAAAUGGCAGCAGAAAA
Molecule: non-coding RNA, 1195 nt
Organism: Coturnix japonica (Japanese quail)
Lineage: Eukaryota; Metazoa; Chordata; Aves; Galliformes; Phasianidae
Source: RefSeq, a predicted model, not a curated record